This 930-nucleotide ribosomal RNA is filed under the name Gautieria obtexta. Its description in RNAcentral is "partial large subunit ribosomal RNA". It matches the Rfam family "Eukaryotic large subunit ribosomal RNA", at positions 40 to 954 of the family's 3401-position model. Lineage: Eukaryota; Fungi; Basidiomycota; Agaricomycetes; Gomphales; Gomphaceae. The record is from RNAcentral.
AUAUCAAUAAGCGGAGGAAAAGAAACUAACAAGGAUUCCCCUAGUAACGGCGAGUGAAGCGGGAUGAGCUCAAAUUUGUAAUCUGGCGGACUCUGGCCGUCCGAGUUGUAGUCUGGAGAAGCGUCUUCCGCGUCGGACCGUGUACAAGUCCCUUGGAACAGGGCGUCGUAGAGGGUGAGAAUCCCGUCUUUGACACGGACUGCCGAUGCUUUGUGAUGCGCUCUCGAAGAGUCGAGUUGUUUGGGAAUGCAGCUCAAAACGGGUGGUAAAUUCCAUCUAAAGCUAAAUAUGGGCGAAAGACCGAUAGCGAACAAGUACCGUGAGGGAAAGAUGAAAAGCACUUUGGAAAGAGAGUUAAACAGUACGUGAAAUUGUUGAAAGGGAAACGCUUGAAGUCAGUCGCGUCUCCUGGGACUCAGCCUUGCUUCCGCUUGGUGUACUUCCUGGGGUGACGGGCCAGCAUCGAUUUUGACCGUCGGAGAAAGGCCUUGGGAACGUGGCACCUUUGGGUGUGUUAUAGCCCUCGGUCGUAUGCGACGGUUGGGAUCGAGGACCGCAGCACGCCUUUUUGGCCGGGGUUCGCCCACGCACGUGCUUAGGAUGCUGGCGUAAUGGCUUUAAGCGACCCGUCUUGAAACACGGACCAAGGAGUCUAACAUGCCUGCGAGUGUUUGGGUGGUAAACCCGGACGCGAAAUGAAAGUGAAAGGUUGGGACCUCUGUCGUGGAGGGCACCGACGCCCGGACCAGACCUUCUGUGACGGUUCCGAGGUAGAGCAUGCAUGCUGGGACCCGAAAGAUGGUGAACUAUGCUUGAGUAGGGUGAAGCCAGAGGAAACUCUGGUGGAGGCUCGUAGCGAUUCUGACGUGCAAAUCGAUCGUCGAACUUGAGUAUAGGGGCGAAAGACUAAUCGAACCAUCUAGUAGCUGG